Molecule: ribosomal RNA, 1434 nt
Filed under: Escherichia coli
Lineage: Bacteria; Pseudomonadati; Pseudomonadota; Gammaproteobacteria; Enterobacterales; Enterobacteriaceae
Description: partial 23S ribosomal RNA
Rfam family: Bacterial large subunit ribosomal RNA
Source: RNAcentral
CCAGAGCCUGAAUCAGUGUGUGUGUUAGUGGAAGCGUCUGGAAAGGCGCGCGAUACAGGGUGACAGCCCCGUACACAAAAAUGCACAUGCUGUGAGCUCGAUGAGUAGGGCGGGACACGUGGUAUCCUGUCUGAAUAUGGGGGGACCAUCCUCCAAGGCUAAAUACUCCUGACUGACCGAUAGUGAACCAGUACCGUGAGGGAAAGGCGAAAAGAACCCCGGCGAGGGGAGUGAAAAAGAACCUGAAACCGUGUACGUACAAGCAGUGGGAGCACGCUUAGGCGUGUGACUGCGUACCUUUUGUAUAAUGGGUCAGCGACUUAUAUUCUGUAGCAAGGUUAACCGAAUAGGGGAGCCGAAGGGAAACCGAGUCUUAACUGGGCGUUAAGUUGCAGGGUAUAGACCCGAAACCCGGUGAUCUAGCCAUGGGCAGGUUGAAGGUUGGGUAACACUAACUGGAGGACCGAACCGACUAAUGUUGAAAAAUUAGCGGAUGACUUGUGGCUGGGGGUGAAAGGCCAAUCAAACCGGGAGAUAGCUGGUUCUCCCCGAAAGCUAUUUAGGUAGCGCCUCGUGAAUUCAUCUCCGGGGGUAGAGCACUGUUUCGGCAAGGGGGUCAUCCCGACUUACCAACCCGAUGCAAACUGCGAAUACCGGAGAAUGUUAUCACGGGAGACACACGGCGGGUGCUAACGUCCGUCGUGAAGAGGGAAACAACCCAGACCGCCAGCUAAGGUCCCAAAGUCAUGGUUAAGUGGGAAACGAUGUGGGAAGGCCCAGACAGCCAGGAUGUUGGCUUAGAAGCAGCCAUCAUUUAAAGAAAGCGUAAUAGCUCACUGGUCGAGUCGGCCUGCGCGGAAGAUGUAACGGGGCUAAACCAUGCACCGAAGCUGCGGCAGCGACGCUGAUGCGUUGUUGGGUAGGGGAGCGUUCUGUAAGCCUGCGAAGGUGUGCUGUGAGGCAUGCUGGAGGUAUCAGAAGUGCGAAUGCUGACAUAAGUAACGAUAAAGCGGGUGAAAAGCCCGCUCGCCGGAAGACCAAGGGUUCCUGUCCAACGUUAAUCGGGGCAGGGUGAGUCGACCCCUAAGGCGAGGCCGAAAGGCGUAGUCGAUGGGAAACAGGUUAAUAUUCCUGUACUUGGUGUUACUGCGAAGGGGGGACGGAGAAGGCUAUGUUGGCCGGGCGACGGUUGUCCCGGUUUAAGCGUGUAGGCUGGUUUUCCAGGCAAAUCCGGAAAAUCAAGGCUGAGGCGUGAUGACGAGGCACUACGGUGCUGAAGCAACAAAUGCCCUGCUUCCAGGAAAAGCCUCUAAGCAUCAGGUAACAUCAAAUCGUACCCCAAACCGACACAGGUGGUCAGGUAGAGAAUACCAAGGCGCUUGAGAGAACUCGGGUGAAGGAACUAGGCAAAAUGGUGCCGUAACUUCGGGAGAA